Molecule: ribosomal RNA, 483 nt
Filed under: uncultured bacterium
Lineage: Bacteria
Description: bacterial SSU rRNA
Rfam family: Bacterial small subunit ribosomal RNA
Source: RNAcentral
UGGCUCAGGACGAACGCUGGCGGCGUGCCUAACACAUGCAAGUCGAACGGACGAGGGGAGCUUGCUCCCCAAGUUAGUGGCGGACGGGUGAGUAACACGUGAGCAACCUGCCCUUCGGAGGGGGACAACAGCGGGAAACUGCUGCUAAUACCGCAUAAUGUAUUCUGGAGGCAUCUCCGGGAUACCAAAGAUUUUAUCGCCGAAGGAUGGGCUCGCGUCUGAUUAGAUAGUUGGUGGGGCAACGGCCCACCAAGUCUGCGAUCAGUAGCCGGACUGAGAGGUUGAACGGCCACAUUGGGACUGAGAUACGGCCCAGACUCCUACGGGAGGCAGCAGUGGGGAAUAUUGGGCAAUGGGGGGCAACCCUGACCCAGCAACGCCGCGUGGAGGAAGAAGGCUUUCGGGUUGUAAACUCCUUUGACGAGGGACGAUGAUGACGGUACCUCGAAAACAAGCCACGGCUAACUACGUGCCAGCCGCGGC